Molecule: long non-coding RNA, 725 nt
Filed under: Heterocephalus glaber (naked mole-rat)
Lineage: Eukaryota; Metazoa; Chordata; Mammalia; Rodentia; Bathyergidae
Description: lncRNA (ENSHGLG00000049255.1)
Source: RNAcentral
GCUCAAGCUCUCGCCGUGGCCACCCAGUGAGGCCUCUUGCAGGGAGGUGGGAGGAAAAGAGGGGGCCUCUGAGGCCUUCUUGUCACCCUCCUGAAGCUGAAAGGUGCUGGCGAGAAACUGAAGAUUGACCAUGAGAAAGAAGGUGGAGAAACAGCUGCUGCCCGAGAGGCACAAGUAGCAGGCGGUCUGCAGGAUCCGGCCUUCCCAGGAGUGCAGGGGGCCACAUCUGGAGACCUGGCAGCAGCCGGCCUGUCUGGGGGCACCCGAAGUGUUGGUAAUGUGCAGGCUCCUGGCAAAGAGCAGAACCGUCCUGUACUGAAUCCAGGAAGGAGACCGCAGCCUCCAGUCCUGCCCCAAAGCCUUGGUUGGGACGGGACACAGCCUUGCUGCCCCUUUCCUGAGCUGGCCAAGUUUAAGGGGCAAAGGCCCCCACCCCCAUCUGAGUAAGCGGUGCUGCUUGCUCAACUCCAGGAAUAUGUUAAUUCAAGCUUCAAAUUGUAAUCACUUCUUUAUAAAAGUUUUGAAUUAAGCCAAUGCACAUACACUUUUCAUGUUAUACAAUUUCCUUGGUUUUGGGGCCCCUAAUGGGGAAACACCACUUAAACUAUGAACUCAGGCAAGAGACAUUUUCUGGAGCAAAGGAAUAAAUGAAUUGAGAUGUACUUCCCUCCAAGUAGGGCCAACACUAAAUACUAAAGCCUCCAAAAGACCACUCAACAUUCAAC